Molecule: long non-coding RNA, 10418 nt
Filed under: Malus domestica (apple)
Lineage: Eukaryota; Viridiplantae; Streptophyta; Magnoliopsida; Rosales; Rosaceae
Description: long non-coding RNA (MDOM_LNC018949)
Source: RNAcentral
UACACAUUAUUAACAAAUUAAACCAAAAGUUAAACAUGAGUUUAGGAAAAUAGAACCGAAAUAAGAGAGUGCAGAGGUUUCUUCCUCUCUGUCUUUCACGCUCACGUCUGACUGUCACUCUGCUGCCCUCGGCUUCCGUUUCUUCCUCUCUGUCGGUUUUCUGCUGCCGCAAGGCAGCUGUCUGCCUUCUGUCCUCCCUCUGACUUGCAAUCCCGCGCCCUCUCCCUCCUUUUAUUUCUUUUCCUGCUCCAUUUUCCAGUCCCCCCUCUGCUGUCUCUCACGCUGCCCCCCAAAGGCAGCUUCCUGUCAGUUCUCUUUUUAUUUCCUCCAGCCCCCUGUCAGUCUCCCCUACUCGUUCCCUUUAUUAUUCUUCCUAUUCUGCUGUCCGUGUCAGCCUCUCAAUCCCGUCCCAUUUGUAGCAUUUUCUAUUAUUUUCUUUUCAGCCAGCACAAUCCACUUCUUUCUUUUUAUUCUUCUUUUCCUUUUCUUAUUACUUCCACUCUUCUUUGUCUACUGUUUUUCUUUUCUUUCUGUCUCAGUGCUCUCUCUCUUCUGCCUGUUUUAUUUAUGUUCUUUUCUUUCCGCCAGUCUCCCACUCCUCUCUGUCAGUGUUUCCACUUUUCUUCCUUUUAAUUGAAAUUGAUCAUAAAACACAUUUAACUGCACAAUAACACAAGGUAAGGUAAAAUGCCACAAUUUUAACACAAAAACAUCACAAAGACUUUAGAAAUAAAUGGUAUAAAUGCAUGAAAUAUAUGAGUGAUCAAAUACCCCCAAACUUACAUUUUUGCUAGUCCUCGAGCAAAACGAAGAAAACAAGAACAAGAAGUAACAAGAAAAACAUUAGCUUCCCUCUAUGUGACCUUCAUAGAAUUUCAUUUAAGAAAACAAAUCAUCAAGAACCAUAGCUAGCAUCAAGGAACUAAUCCAAGUUCAUCUUCCUAAUUCAAAUAUUAGCAAUAAUCUUUGAAUCAUCCUUGAAGUGUAGUGUGUGAGAUAGCCAUGCUAAUGCAAUUUCAAGUUUUUUAUUUUUAAAAUCAUCAUAUGCAAAUUAGCGACCAUCUCACGGGAUAUGCACUCAAUCACAACAUGUGUUUAGUUUUAAUGUGUUUCGCUCAAAGAAUCAAAUGUGAAAUUUCUACCAUAAGCUUGCAUAAAGAUCACUUCUCCACAGUCAUAAUUGCAAAACUUAAAUCAAGAGGACUUUUAUUGGAUGUAAUGAGGUUUAGGGAUAGGGUUAUUGAAACGAUAGAAUAGGAAAACACAAGUUCCAAGCUACAUUGCAAGCAAUUCUUUUCUUUAGAUUUAUAAGAACUCAAGCUCUCCAGCAAUUCUUCUAGCACCUCCAACCACACCCUAAAACUGAAACUUUAAAAACUUUUUAUUUCAUUUGUAUACAAUCUUUCUUUUUCUUUUCUCUUUUUUUUUUUAUUUUUUUAUUUUUUUUUUAUUUUUUAUUUUUUUUAUUUUUUAAUUUAUACAAACAUGAAAUACCCCCACACUUAUUCUUUUGCCAAACACCUUCAGAGUACUUCACAAACGUUUCUCAUAAGACAAUCUCGCAUUGCUCGCUUGGAAAGGGUAAGGAAAAAAUUUCAGGUAUAAGGGUAGACAUAUCUUGGUGAUAAGAAAUAAAAAGGCUCAACAUACACGGCUCAAAUUGGCAAUCUAUAUGAUAUCAUUUUCUUUGGGAAACAUGGUUAUUUGGGUCAUAGUGGUAAACCUAAUGCCUCUAUCAUUUCCAAGUUCAUGCAGUCAAUGACAACAUUUCGAAAGAUCGUUACGCAAGUUCUAGAGAUGUAUCUCACAUAAGUUCAUCACACAUAAAAAAAUAGGAGUGUAUGAAAAAUGCACACACUUUCAAUAGGCUCAAAAACUCACAUAGGAUGUAUAUGGUCACUAAAUUCACAUAUGAAGCUUUAAGUCAUGCUUUAGUUUCACAUCAACAAGGCUAUGUGCAUUUGGUUUUUCAAAGAUGAUCAAACAUGUACAAAACUAACAAGAGAAUUAGGAAUUUCACAAAACACAUGUUAACUAAGUUCUUUGAUGAUCAUGGUUCAAAAUUUGAUCCAAUUAUAUCAUUGGGUCGGGAAACUAACAAAAAUCUAAUUCAAAACAAUAAGGGAAACCAGACAAUAUUUUUGGAUUUUUAAAUUUUCUGAUUUUUUUUUUAAUUUUUUUUUUAUAUAUAUAUAUAUAUUUUUUUUAUUAUUAUUUAAAAGAAAACAAAACUAAUUAAGAAAACAAAAAGCAACAACAUGGAAACAAAUGAAACUCGUUCGUAGUUGAAGGUACAAAAAAAAUUUCAAUUUGGUCAUUUUUUAUACUCUUUACCCCCAAACUUAAACUGGACAUUGUCCCCAAUGUCAGAAACACUAUAAUGCAAUUAAAAAUAAAAUAAAUAAAUAAUAAGAAACAAAAUAAAGCAAUUGGACUGAAAACUUCCCUAGUUUGCAGUAAAACCAAGCGAUGACCCCCCAAGCUAAAAUUCUGCAAUCAACUUCAAGGGUGGAAAGAACCAAAAGUUCCUGCAAAGAAAAGAAAUAAUUCAGUUAAGUAACGCAAGAAAAUGUAAAAUUGAAAAUCACGAUAAAAGACAAUGAAUAGAACUAAUAAGUGAUCAUUGGUCGUGCUUGUUGACUUUCCACAGCUUUCCUCUUGAACGGGGUGACACUUAGCUUUUUACUUGCAAGUGAUGAUUUGAUGAUAUUGUACGGCGAAGCUUUGCUCUUUGGUGAUGUUGUUGAAGCUUCUUGAGUUCUUCAACUCAGAUUCCUUCUGCUCUCGAGUUGAUUGUGCAGGCUCAAUUCCUUUUUUGUUCUCCAAGCAGAUGUGGCAGCUUCUCUAGUUCUUCAUCUCAGACUCCUUCUGCUUGGAUGAUUGUGCAAGCUGCAUUCUUCUCUGCUUGUUUCUUCUGCACGACGGGCAGGCACGAGGGAAAGGUGUUGGUCUGUUUCUUUCUUCAAUCUUUCCAAGUGCCCACCUCUUGCUCUCUUUCUCCUUGUCCUUAGUUGAGGAUGAAUCAGCACGUUGUCUCCACAUGCUUCGAGGUAUCAUCUUCACUUCCCUUAGACGUGAGAGACGAAGCGAAGGCAUAAGAUGAUGAGUACUCGAGAGCAGGUGCUGACUGGAGAAAGGACAGGGAGAAAGCAUGAUAUGAGAUACUCGUGCUCUCAACCUUUAUGAUAUGAAAUACUUGUGCUCUGGAUGGGUUGUUUGCAGGGGUAUCCCAGGGGAUGAAAAAUACAGAGUGACUCGAGAGGGUUCUUUGGGAAUGCAUUCUCGGAGAUGAAGAAGUGCUGAGAGGGUGUGCCUUUGCUGUGGGAAGGCGAAGGUAGACACUUAUAGGACUUUUCUUCACAACCGGAAAUAUUCCCUCACUCAUUGUCGGCAGCCGGUGGGAUGGAUGAAUAGUACAAAUUACGCGCUUUCUGACAAAGCUGCCCGUAAUUUCCGCAAAACUGCCAGUUGCAUGUGACGAGUGAUGACACGUCUGGACAAAUUGAUCUUUUGAAAUCUGGGGUUCGGCUCGUGGUUUCUGAGCAAGCCCAAAUUUUAAGAAAUGAAACGCCUCUUUUGAGAAAAGAAUCCGACUUUUGAGAAAGGAGCCCCGACUCUUCGAUUUGCGAGAGGACGCUUCUCUGAGGAGCGCCUCUUUGAUUUCUUUUUUAUAGAGGCGUUAAUUUUGUUCCACAACACACUUGAGCUCUCUCCUGUAAACACUCCCUUCUUGCACUUCCAAAAUCUUAAUCAGUCCGACUCUCUUCUUUCUUCACCACCUCUGAAAAAUGUCUGGCCCUUCCGAUCGUCGUUUUGACUUGAACAUUGGUGAAGAGGCAGCUCCGCCUUCACCAGACAACAUAUGGCGCCCAUCCUUCAUAUCCCCUACUGGUCCUCUUACCGUUGGGAUUCGGUGAUGAAAAAAUGACAUGACCGCUGCGGUGGUGGCCCGGAACCUUGUCACCCCCAGAGAUAACAGACUGCUCGCUAGACGGUCUGAUGAAUUGGCGGUUAAGGAGUCUCUGGCUCUUAGCGUGCAGUGUGCUGGUUCUGUGUCCAACAUGGCCCAACGCCUAUUUGCUCGAACCCGUCACGUUGAAUCGUUGGUGGCUGAAAUACAGAGUCUCAAAGAGGAGAUUAGAGGACUCAAGCAUGAAAAUAAACAAUUGCACAAGCUUGCACACAAUUAUGCCACAAACAUGAAGAGGAAAAUUGACCAGCUGCAGGAAAAUGAUAGUCAGAUUUUACUUGAUCACCGGAGGUUUGUGGGUUUGUUCCAACCGCAUCUGCCUUCGUCUUCUGGGGCGGCACCGCGUAGUGAAGCUCCAACUGAUCAACCUCUGUUGCCUCCUCCUUCUGUGGCCCCGCCGACUGCUGAAGCUCCGCCGACUACUGAAGCACCACCUGACCAAUGAAUGCUAUUAGUUUACACAUCAUUGUAAAAUAUUUUUUACUUUUAUGUUUUUUUUUUUUUUUUUUUUUUUUUUUUAAAUCAAUGUAAAAUAUGUAAAUCAAUGUAAAAAGACUUUGUUUAACCUUCCCCCACACUUAAACUAAAUAACACAAACUCACAGAAAUCAACCAAAUAACACAACUAACUGAACAAAACAAAAUGAAAGCAGUAAAGAUAAGGGUGUAAGAAUGCAAAUCUGAUUUGGUUAGCGAUUCCAAAGUCUCCCUUCGUUGAAUGCUUGGGUUGCCUCCCAAGAAGCGCUUGAUUUAACGUCUUUAGCCGGACGAAUCUUUCCUUUAAACUCCACUCUGCUCCAAAGCAUGGAAUUUAUCUUUUAAUGGGAGGUGAUACUUGAAAUGAUUCGGCAAUGGUUUAAAUUCAAGAGUGGGUGCCUGAAUCAUUAAAAUCAGAAACAUGUUAGUAUAAAUUAAAAUUGAAAUUGGAGAAGAUGGCUUACUUUCUUUUUCCGACACAAACUCAAUGACAAACACCACAUCUUUGAACAUUUCCGGGACUUUGAACUUGGCCAGGUUUACUAUGAUGGUUGUGGCUUGUCCCGUGUCAUCAAACUCAACUGCUUUGUGCUUGAUUGUCUCAUGCACAACCUCUUGGAUGUAUUCUUGAUAUGCUUCAACCACUUCAUUCUCUUGAAUCCCUUUUCUUGGUGUGCAAGGUUCUUUGAACGUUUCAAUACCAUCGGGAACUUGUUUUGGUGCACCAAGAAUUGGGAUAUCACUUUGCACCUUUGGAAGAGCUUCCACAAUGUCUUUUUCACUCUCUUUGAUAUUUGGAAUAAAAAACCUGCAAGGACAAAAGACAUUCGGUGGAAUAAUGUUAGAAUGAAGUGAAUUUAGAACUUCCUCACCUGAGUUGGAUGACAUAGGGAUUUGAGGAGCUUGCAGCAAAAAUUCUUCUAAACUGCCCAGGUCGUCCUCCUCCUCUUCUGCUUGCAGCAGCAAUUCAUCCAUGUUCGGGCUGUGUUUGGAUAGUUCUGGGACAGCUUCAUCCUUCAUGUCACCUUCCAAAGUGAUAGCAUCGUGGAUUUCAAAAUCUUCCUUCGAAUUUUCAACACUUGAGCUAGAGAGUUCACUUUGCUCUUGAAUUUGUACCAUGAAUUCCAUAAUCUCUCCCAUUUGACUCAUCAAUUUAUCCAACUUCUUGUCUUGAUUUUGUUGGUCCUGCGUCAAAGAGGUUAGUACUUGAAGAAUUUGAUCACUAUCCAUGGACACCCUUGAAGUUGAUUGGAAUUGUUGUGGGGUAUGCGGUGGUGGCUGCAUAGGCGUUAAAUAAAACUCCUCAGAUUGCUGCCAAUAUCCAUCUUGUUGAGCCUCCUUGGCUUGAUUUUAUGAGCCCUGCACCAAAGAAUUUAAUUCAUCAAAAAUUUGAUUGUAAUCUAUUGACGAAUCUGAGUUUGAUUGGGCAUAUUGUAUAUGAGGUUGUGAAUAGAACUCCUCCUCUUGCUGCCAAUAUCCAUUUUGUUGGAAUUGUUGAGGUUCCUCCCACAUAUAAUUUGAAUGAUCUCUCCAAGCCGAAUUGUAAGCGUUGGAAAACAUGUUGUUGCUUGGUUGAUCAUAGCCUUGAUAACCCCAAGCAUCUUCGUUCACAGUGAAUUGAGGAUGUUGAUAUCCUUGCCCAUAGGGCACAUCAAAUGUAGGGACACUUGGCAUUGUGGUCCGUUCGGCAUUAUGAGUCAAUUGAGCAGUGAGCUGUGCCAAUUGAGCUUGAAUGGUCGCAAGUGCCAUGUCUUGCUCCAUUUGUACCUAAAAUCAAAGAAAGAAAAAUAAAUCAAAUAUCAAAAGUAAAAUACACAAACACCAAUAUAAACAUAAACAAAAACAAAAAUAAAAAUAAAGGGAUUAGCAAAGUUGCUAAUCCCCGGCAACGGCGCCAAAAUUUGAUGUGAGAAUUACUUGACACACAAAUUAAACCCUCUUUUUGACAAUUGUAGUAUAGAUGUAAGUAGGGUAUCGUUCUAGGCCGGGGAUUAGGAGGGAUUGCUAAUCUAUUCUAAAUUAAUUUAAAAAAUAUUAAACAAGACUCAAGGACACAAAACUAGGCUAAAAACUCUAAUAACUCGAAACACACUUAGAAUGACUCAAAAUAAUGAAAACAAUCAAAUUAGACACUAGGAACUGAAAUGGACGGAAAUUGAAUUAAAAGACUAACAACAAUGAAAACUAACUAAAUAAUAUAAUUUAAUAAUGGGGGGGGGUUUGGUUUUGACGAGAAGUAAAUUAAACUUAAAUAAAUUACAGAAUUGACAAAAGCAUGAAAUUAAGGUGAAAGGAUAGAUGACGGACUAGCUAGAGGGUUUUUCUCCACACAUGACACAUAUGCAGCCUAAAUUGAUUUUCAGUUGUUCUUUCAAUAAAUUGUGAAUGACAAUGUUCCAAGUUAAUUAGGUCUGCUUAAAUUAACUCUUAGAUUUCCCUAGAUUCAUUGGAUUGAAUGGAAUACGCAUUACAACCAAAUUAUUCCUCAUCAAAGUCCCUAACUAUGGAAUACGCAUGAUAGAGACAUUCAACAAAGAUCAUUAAGUUCAACGGAAAUCAUAAACAUUGACUAGGCAUUCAUAACUAUGGAAUACGCAUGUUAAUCCAGCCUAGAAUUCACUUAACACGAUUGUGGAUAACAACCUUCACUACUUGUGAAUAUAAGUUCAUAAAGAUUAGGUGAAAUUCACUUAUAUUCUAGCAUCAAAUUCAUGCAUGUAAAUUAAGUAUGCAUUCUUAAUCGACAUACAAAAAUAAGUUAUCAAUCAAGCAGUUAAGCAAAUUAAAUCACAACUCAGAAAUCACAACUGAAGGUAAUCAAUUCAUAUUACAAAUAUAUCCAUGGCUUUGAAUUAACCUCUAGCCAAAAUAAAUUUAGUUACACAUUAUUAACAAAUUAAACCAAAAGUUAAACAUGAGUUUAGGAAAAUAGAACCGAAAUAAGAGAGUGCAGAGGUUUCUUCCUCUCUGUCUUUCACGCUCACGUCUGACUGUCACUCUGCUGCCCUCGGCUUCCGUUUCUUCCUCUCUGUCGGUUUUCUGCUGCCGCAAGGCAGCUGUCUGCCUUCUGUCCUCCCUCUGACCUGCAAUCCCGCGCCCUCUCCCUCCUUUUAUUUCUUUUCCUGCUCCAUUUUCCAGUCCCCCCUCUGCUGUCUCUCACGCUGCCCCCCAAAGGCAGCUUCCUGUCAGUCUCCCCCACUCGUUCCCUUUAUUAUUCUUCCUAUUCUGCUGUCCGUGUCAGCCUCUCAAUCCCGUCCCAUUUGUAGCAUUUUCUAUUAUUUUCUUUUCAGCCAGCACACUCCACUUCUUUCUUUUUAUUCUUCUUUUCCUUUUCUUAUUACUUCCACUCUUCUUUGUCUACUGUUUUUCUUUUCUUUCUGUCUCAGUGCUCUCUCUCUUCUGCCUAUUUUAUUUAUUUUCUUUUCUUUCCGCCAGUCUCCCACUCCUCUCUGUCAGUGUUUCCACUUUUCUUCCUUUUAAUUGAAAUUGAUCAUAAAACACAUUUAACUGCACAAUAACACAAGGUAAGGUAAAAUGCCACAAUUUUAACACAAAAACAUCACAAAGACUUUAGAAAUAAAUGGUAUAAAUGCAUGAAAUAUAUGAGUGAUCAGAAGUCUAAUUAAACAAAAACACUAAAGAAAGAAAAGAAAGCGUACUUAAGACUUGGAGAUUGCUUGAAUCGGUAGACUUGAACUUUUGUUGAUAUAUAGAAUGUUUACAAAGAGAAAUGUUCACAAAGAAAUGUUUACAAGGGAAGUGUUUACAAAGAAAUGUUUACAAAGGAUGCUAGGAAGGUUUUGGAUGCUUAAGUGUAUGAGGAUUGAAGGAUGGUGUGAGUAUAUGGUGAGUGUAGGGUGUUUAGGUGUUGAGAUGUUGAGGUAUGUUUUUACAAUGAAUGAAACUCCUCUUAUAUAGACUGAGUGAGAAUACUCUGAAAAAAUUAAAAUCUUUACAAAUGUAUGGUAUAGACAUCUCCUUGGUACUUGUCAUCUUCUACUGUGGUUGAAAUUGUCAUCAUUGUUUCUGAAACGUGAUCUGACUGAUUUGUCUUCUUUUUGCUUUGCAUGUGAACUUGCUUGUCUUCUUUUGUUUUGUCUUGAUAAAUGCAUGUGAGCUUGGUGCAUGGCUGUCUCCUGAAGCCCAUUUUUGCUUUUGUUUUGAGCAUGCAUGUGAUAUUUCUGAAAUGUUUUUCUUCCUUGUUUUCUUUCUCAUGCCCAUUUUGGGUAUUAUAAAAAAAAUUGGCCCAUGAUUAAAAGGAAAGUUUUUUGGGAGUUUUAACGAAAGGGGCUUGGUACUAUUCAUUCUUAACCAUAAGGACAUUUUAUGUAUGAAAAGUCUGUAAUAGAUCAAACUCUUCUCUUUAUUUACUCUUAUGCCAUUACAUGCGGACCACAACGAUGUUGACAUUUCUGUCUGGAAAUACAUUAUGAUGCUAUUCAUCUUAUGCUAAUUUACAGCUAGUUCUUCAGGCUUCCAUCAUGUUAUCGAUGUUAUGCAACUCUUUUUCUGACAAAUUAUUCCAAUACUGUUCAUCGCCUUCUACUAGCUCCGCAUCUCUUUCUCUAUCUUCUUUCACCUUGUAAUAUAUUUCUGCUGUUUCUUCUUUGAAAUUUUGAGGCUUCCAAUAAGGCUGAUGAUUGAUUCUUGUCUUGCUGUAAAUAUACAUCUCUUCUUCUUCUGCUACUAGUACCAUAUCAUACCUAAAAUCUUCAAACUCAUCUAAAGCAAACAUUUGGAUCCCUCUAAAUUUUAAAAUAUCUUUGUAUGAAGGAGUCCACCUAUGUGAGGAGAUAGGGUUUAGUCUAAAGGACUCUUCAUUGAUCAUGGCUAUAUGCCUAGCUUUCUCCUUAUGCAUGUGUACAUACCAAUCUGGAGGACUACUAAUAAAACUUAUGCAAAUUUCUUUCCACCUUUCUAGAUAGUCUUCUGCUACUUUAAUAAGCUUUUCAGGAAAUGAUUCUAGUUGAGAAAUACAGUUAAUAAAUAUUUUAUCGAGAUAACCAAACUCUAAUAGUAGGGCAGGGGUAACUUCUACCUCAUUAUGCUUUUUCUGAUGCUCAUAACUAAAUGCCAUGUUUUAAAAUCUCUCAUGUCAAUCCUGGCCACAGCUACGCUAACCUCUGGUUUACAAAUACAAUUCUCUGUACUAUCACAAAGACAUGGAGGAUACAUCUUUGUAAUAAUAUCCAUCCCUGGUUUUGGAUCAAAGAUGGACUGAUACAAGGCGCAUUGUAAUUGUAAUUGUAACUCUUUCAUGGACUGUGAUGCUCUGCUCAGGAUCUUAUUUUGCAUAUCUGUUGACAUUAUUCUCAGUUUUGCUUUUGAAAUUUCUUCUAAUAAAACAUCGUCUAAUAUUAAGUCUGAAGAUAUAUUCCUAAGAAAACUUUCAUAUUUUUCUUGUUUUUCUUUGUCACUCCGAACCUGAUGCUGAUCAUUACUUUGAUGUUGCUCCAUUUCAACGUCUUCUUCUAAGAGCUCAAUCUUAAUUUCUUCUAUGGGCUCAUUAGCGUCUUGUUCUAUGGGUUCAAUAACCUCUUUUCCUUUAUGCUUAUGCUGAUCAAUCUCUAAACCUAUUUUUAAUUCUCUUUUCAAGGUAUCACUUGCCUUUUGCUGCAUUCUAAGAGAUUGGAGUUCUUGGUUCAUUUUGGUAAACUUACCAAGUAAUGACUCAUGGUCCCUAGAAAUGGCUUGAAGAUUGUGCUCAAGAGAAUGAAUAUGCUGCUGGUUUUGGUGGAAUUAAAAUUAAAGCUAUCAAACUCUUGUUCCAAGGCUCAAAUUAAUUUUUCAUGACCUAACCUCAUGCUUGGCUGCUUAAUUUGGAUAUUCCAGAAAUUAUCUAAGAGAACUUGUUGCCUAUCAGAAAGCCCCGGUACCCUUGACCUGUAUCUCAGAGUUGGAUUUCUGAUUCCUUCAACAAUAUUGCCAUUAAAGUUGAACGUGGGUACUGGUGGUGAUGCUGGUCUGCUCAU